UGAAGUUUUCGGAUGGAUUCCUGGUUGACUGAGUGGCGGACGGGUGAGUAACGCGUGGAUAACCUGCCUCACACUGGGGGAUAACAGUUAGAAAUGGCUGCUAAUACCGCAUAAGACCACAGCACCGCAUGGUGCGGGGGUAAAAACUCCGGUGGUGUGAGAUGGAUCCGCGUCUGAUUAGCCAGUUGGCGGGGUAACGGCCCACCAAAGCGACGAUCAGUAGCCGGCCUGAGAGGGUGAACGGCCACAUUGGGACUGAGACACGGCCCAAACUCC
RNAcentral lists this ribosomal RNA (276 nucleotides) under uncultured Lachnospiraceae bacterium. RNAcentral describes it as "partial 16S ribosomal RNA". It matches the Rfam family "Bacterial small subunit ribosomal RNA", at positions 63 to 339 of the family's 1533-position model. The record is from RNAcentral. Lineage: Bacteria; Bacillati; Bacillota; Clostridia; Lachnospirales; Lachnospiraceae.